AUUGAACGCUGGCGGCAUGCCUUACACAUGCAAGUCGAACGUGAAAGCGGGGCAACCCGCAAGUAGAGUGGCGGACGGGUGAGUAAUACAUCGGAACGUGUCCAGUAAUGGGGGAUAACCUAGCGAAAGUUAGGCUAAUACCGCAUACGAUCUGCGGAUGAAAGCGGGGGAUGCGGCACUAAAGGCUUUUGGCGAAGGUGGCCAAAGGUGAGUCAAGAGCUUUUAGUGCUGCACCUCGCGUUAUUGGAGCGGCUGAUGUCUGAUUAGCUAGUUGGUGAGGUAAAGGCUUACCAAGGCGACGAUCAGUAGCUGGUCUGAGAGGACGGCCAGCCACACUGGGACUGAGACACGGCCCAGACUCCUACGGGAGCAGCAGUGGGGAAUUUUGGACAAUGGGGCAACCCUGAUCCAGCCAUGCCGCGUGAGUGAAGAAGG
RNAcentral lists this ribosomal RNA (435 nucleotides) under uncultured bacterium. Its description in RNAcentral is "bacterial SSU rRNA". It matches the Rfam family "Bacterial small subunit ribosomal RNA", at positions 30 to 414 of the family's 1533-position model. The record is from RNAcentral.